RNAcentral lists this ribosomal RNA (253 nucleotides) under uncultured bacterium. Its description in RNAcentral is "partial 16S ribosomal RNA". It matches the Rfam family "Bacterial small subunit ribosomal RNA", at positions 524 to 776 of the family's 1533-position model. The record is from RNAcentral.
UACAGAGGUCCCAAGCGUUGUUCGGAUUCAUUGGGCGUAAAGGGUGCGUAGGCGGCGCGGUAAGUCGGGUGUGAAAUCUCGGAGCUUAACUCCGAAACUGCAUUCGAUACUGCCGUGCUUGAGGACUGGAGAGGAGACUGGAAUUUACGGUGUAGCGGUGAAAUGCGUAGAUAUCUGGAGGAACACCGGUGGCGAAGGCGGCAUCCUGGACCAACACUGACGCUGAGGAGCGAAAGCCAGGGGAGCAAACGGG